UCGCGUUUUUCAGAUCGCGUUUUUCAGUUUUCUCCUCUCCUCUACCUCACUUCACGUUGAACCUCUCUCAGAUCUCGAUUUUGCUUCACUGCUUCUCAGCCUCUCUCAGAUCGCGAUUUGAUGGAUUGAAACCUCUCUCAGCGAUGGCGAACUCCAUUCUCAGAAGCAAAGCUCACGCAAAUCGCGUUCCAGAUUGAACCUCAGUCAUGGAUUGAAGGAAUUAGGGCUUUUAGAUUUCAGAUUCACAUUCUCAUCUCUCUCUCUCUUGAACCUGCUGUGCCCUCGGUUCUCACUCAGAUUCUCGUAUUGGGUUUCAGUUUCUUCUCCUGGUAGCUUUGAUUGAAGGGCUCAGGCACUUGGAGCUAAAUUCACAUUUUACAAUUCCUUGUUGUGUGUACUGUGUACAGUAGACUGAUUUUCAUCUUGCUGGAGCCUUGGGAUUGCUUAGAAUUCUCAUAGACAAGGAAAAGGGAGCUGAUCUGGUGCUGAGGGUCCACAGAGCUACCAUAUGGACACGCACAGAUUUGAUGGUUGCUAGGUGAAUUUGGCAGAGUUUCUCAUUAGCUGCGGACUGCGGUUGUUUCUAUAUUGUUUCCAUUUAUCACCUAAGAGAAGUGUGUUUAAUUAAAUUUUCAAACUCAUGUAAGGAUGUAACAGAAGGGGAAAUUAAUCAGGGACUGCUAAGUUAGUUAGAUGAGUUAUAAAUAGAGGGAAAUCAAAUGAGAGGAACACAUUACGUAGCAUUAUAUAUCUCUCAUUAAGUAUGUCCUUUAGUAUCUGAAAAUAUUGCUGAAGUAUGGUAUUGAACAUGUCUUAAUCACAAGAGAAAGUUCUUC
Molecule: long non-coding RNA, 836 nt
Organism: Lotus japonicus
Lineage: Eukaryota; Viridiplantae; Streptophyta; Magnoliopsida; Fabales; Fabaceae
Exons: 5
Source: RefSeq, a predicted model, not a curated record